GAUGAACGCUGACAGAAUGCUUAACACAUGCAAGUCGAUUCGAUUUACCUUCGGGUAUUGAGGAUGGCGGACGGGUGAGUAACGCGUAAGGAACUUGCCUCUUGGUCUGGGACAACUGUUGGAAACGACAGCUAAUACCGGAUAUUAUGAGAUUCUCGCAUGGGAAACUUAUGAAAGCUAUAUGCGCCAAGAGAGAGCCUUGCGUUCCAUUAGCUAGUUGGUGGGGUAACGGCCCACCAAGGCGACGAUGGAUAGCCGGCCUGAGAGGGUGAACGGCCACAAGGGGACUGAGACACGGCCCUUACUCCUACGGGAGGCAGCAGUGGGGAAUAUUGGACAAUGGGCCACAAGCCUGAUCCAGCAAUUCUGUGUGCACGAUGAAGGUCUUCGGAUUGUAAAGUGCUUUCAGUUGGGAAGAAGAAAGUGACGGUACCAACAGAAGAAGCGACGGCUAAAUACGUGCCAGCAGCCGCGGUAAUACGUAUGUCGCAAGCGUUAUCCGGAUUUAUUGGGCGUAAAGCGCGUCUAGNCGGAAAAAUAAGUCUGAUGNNNAAAUGCGGGGCUCAACUCCGUAUUGCGUUGGAAACUGUUUUUCUAGAGUACUGGANAG
This 610-nucleotide ribosomal RNA is filed under the name uncultured prokaryote. Its description in RNAcentral is "bacterial SSU rRNA". It matches the Rfam family "Bacterial small subunit ribosomal RNA", at positions 28 to 656 of the family's 1533-position model. The record is from RNAcentral.